UGCAGUCGAGCGGAGAUGAGGUGCUUGCACCUUAUCUUAGCGGCGGACGGGUGAGUAAUGCUUAGGAAUCUGCCUAUUAGUGGGGGACAACAUUUCGAAAGGAAUGCUAAUACCGCAUACGCCCUACGGGGGAAAGCAGGGGAUCUUCGGACCUUGCGCUAAUAGAUGAGCCUAAGUCGGAUUAGCUAGUUGGUGGGGUAAAGGCCUACCAAGGCGACGAUCUGUAGCGGGUCUGAGAGGAUGAUCCGCCACACUGGGACUGAGACACGGCCCAGACUCCUACGGGAGGCAGCAGUGGGGAAUAUUGGACAAUGGGGGGAACCCUGAUCCAGCCAUGCCGCGUGUGUGAAGAAGGCCUUUUGGUUGUAAAGCACUUUAAGCGAGGAGGAGGAGCUCUAGACUAAUACUCUAGAUGCUUGGACGUUACUCGCAGAAUAAGCACCGGCUAACUCUGUGCCAGCAGCCGCGGUAAUACAGAGGGUGCAAGCGUUAAUCGGAUUUACUGGGCGUAAAGCGUGCGUAGGUGGUCUUUUAAGUCGGAUGUGAAAUCCCUGAGCUUAACUUAGGAAUUGCAUUCGAUACUGGGAGACUAGAGUAUGGGAGAGGAUGGUAGAAUUCCAGGUGUAGCGGUGAAAUGCGUAGAGAUCUGGAGGAAUACCGAUGGCGAAGGCAGCCAUCUGGCCUAAUACUGACACUGAGGUACGAAAGCAUGGGGAGCAAACAGGAUUAGAUACCCUGGUAGUCCAUGCCGUAAACGAUGUCUACUAGCC
Molecule: ribosomal RNA, 770 nt
Filed under: unidentified microorganism
Description: bacterial SSU rRNA
Rfam family: Bacterial small subunit ribosomal RNA
Source: RNAcentral